Molecule: ribosomal RNA, 483 nt
Filed under: uncultured bacterium
Lineage: Bacteria
Description: partial 16S ribosomal RNA
Rfam family: Bacterial small subunit ribosomal RNA
Source: RNAcentral
GACGAACGCUGGCGGCGUGCUUAACACAUGCAAGUCGAACGCUGAAGCUCAGCUUUUGUUGGGUGGAUGAGUGGCGAACGGGUGAGCAACACGUGAGUAACCUGCCCCCUUCUUUGGGAUAACGCCCGGAAACGGGUGCUAAUACUGGAUAUUCACUGGUCUUCGCAUGGGGGUUGGUGGAAAGGGUUUUUCUGGUGGGGGAUGGGCUCGCGGCCUAUCAGCUUGUUGGUGGGGUGAUGGCCUACCAAGGCUUUGACGGGUAGCCGGCCUGAGAGGGUGACCGGUCACAUUGGGACUGAGAUACGGCCCAGACUCCUACGGGAGGCAGCAGUGGGGAAUAUUGCACAAUGGGCGCAAGCCUGAUGCAGCGACGCCGCGUGAGGGAUGGAGGCCUUCGGGUUGUGAACCUCUUUCGCUCAUGGUCAAGCCGCAACAAUGGUUGUGGUGAGGGUAGUGGGUAAAGAAGCGCCGGCUAACUACGUG